Molecule: long non-coding RNA, 1671 nt
Organism: Etheostoma cragini (Arkansas darter)
Lineage: Eukaryota; Metazoa; Chordata; Actinopteri; Perciformes; Percidae
Exons: 6
Source: RefSeq, a predicted model, not a curated record
CGGGAACUGUUAUCGCCGCUUCCCGCGCCAUUCAGCGUGCACGCGCAAGACAACCAGGCACGUACCCGCUUGGAGACUGUCUGGAGUCUGUCUGAAAUUGAUAAAAUUGGAGAUGGAGUUUUACAUCUGUUUGCACAUAUACAAGGAAGCCGCCUGUUGGGAAUAGGAAUGUUUGCUGUCCUCCUCAAACGCCUUUCGCCCACGAGUCACCACGCUUCAGCCAAAAUAUUUUUUUGAUAAACGCUGUGAAAGUUUUUUCUUCUGCAGUCGACCAGCAGACAGCUCUUUAUGUACAGGGAAUCAUCCGACAGCCCUAGAGUUCAAGAGGAGUGCACCAUCCAGAAGGCAGUCUCCCUCAGCUCAUAAAGGAGAUCCAUGGUUUCUUGCAGCCUGUCAUGCCUUCAUGACUUCAACGCUGGAGUGCCUCGGCCCAAAUGGUCGGGCUGACACUUUGUAACAACUCUAUUGCAAGGCAUCCCACAUCCAAACUGCAGUGUAGCGAAUGUUAAGUGUAGAGAGCUGGUGGUGGACUAGGAGGAAGAUGUCAUGCUAGGAAUGGGUUUUGGUGAUGAUGUUGCUGCUGUUGAUGCAGUGUCGAGCUCUCACUUUGUGCCUCUGUCAGUUAUGAUGCGUAACCACAAAGUGAGUGACAGGCCAGUCCCCGGGGAGAGCAGGGGGCCUGAGGGAUCUUUUCUGCCGGUGAAUAUUUUGAUGAAGGUUCCUAUUGAUGCGCUGAAUGAAAGACCAAAACAACAGGGAUAUGUGUGCAUGUGGGUAGGAACAGAAAUGAAUGAAUUGUGUGGGGAUGUGUGCGUGCCAGGCAAGAAGAAAAUACAACCAAGUGAUAGUAAGGUGUGUAUGCGUGAGUGAGUGAAUGAGUGAGAGAGAAAGCUGUGUGGAGAAUGGGUUACUGAGGGGUGGGAGGGAGGAAACCAGCCACCUGCAGCCAUGACAGGCUUUGACCUUCAUUUCUCUCUCUCUUUCUCUCUGUCUCGUAUUUUUCCCUCUCCCUCUCACCCCUCCCUCCCCUAUCUCCCACUCUUUCCUUUCGACUUCCAUUUCUGCCUUGUGAUAGCAGCACUGGCUCUUUUCAGAAGCGACGAGGAAGACUGACCAUCGUGAAGACAGUGCUGGGAGCAGCCAUAUCCGCUCUAAUGCUAUAGUCAUUGGCAGUUAGACAUGGCGUUCAAAGACUAGCGGUGCAAGUAUGGAAAUGCAGAUAAGGCAUUGUUGAGGAAACAUGCCUGGGAAUUGUUCAAGGCUUUCCCUUGCAUAAUGUUUGGAUGCUUUCAAAAGUGUUUUAAUCUCAAAACCCAUGAAUUUGAUCCUCCAUGAAUGAGAUCCAGAACCGCCCAUAGAAUGAGUGGGUGUUUGCAUGAAAAGGGUUGUCAUGCUAUGGAAAUUAAUAAUGUAUGUGAUUACAUUUGUGAAUAUUUGACAUCUGGCAACAUUUGUGUAAAACUAUUUUUGUAUAUAUUUCUGUUCUAGACAAUUAUAGCUAUAAUGCAUUUGAUUUUUUGAGACUAUAAUGUCUGCAGAAGCUCAGCAUUGAUUGAAGGUCACACUUACUGCCUCAGCCAGGCCUCGGUUUUCUUUUUUCUGUGCUUUAAUGGCAAACUAUGAGCUCUUUGCUUCACAUUAAGAUGCCAGAGACUUGUGUGUGUAUAAUCU